RNAcentral lists this ribosomal RNA (469 nucleotides) under uncultured bacterium. Its description in RNAcentral is "bacterial SSU rRNA". It matches the Rfam family "Bacterial small subunit ribosomal RNA", at positions 335 to 797 of the family's 1533-position model. The record is from RNAcentral.
ACUCCUACGGGAGGCAGCAGUGAGGAAUAUUGGACAAAUGGGCGGGAGCCUGAUCCAGCCAUGCCGCGUGCAGGAAGACUGCCCUAUGGGUUGUAAAACUGCUUUUGUACAGGAAGAAACACUCCCUCGUGAGGGAGCUUGACGGUACUGUAAGAAUAAGGAUCGGCUAACUCCGUGCCAGCAGCCGCGGUAAUACGGAGGAUCCAAGCGUUAUCCGGAAUCAUUGGGUUUAAAGGGUCCGUAGGUGGAUGAUUAAGUCAGAGGUGAAAUCCUGCAGCUCAACUGUAGAAUUGCCUUUUGAUACUGGUUGUCUUGAAUUAUUGUGAAGUAGUUAGAAUAUGUGGUGUAGCGGUGAAAAUGCAUAGAUAUCACAUAGAAUACCGAUUGCGAAGGCAGAUUACUAACAAAUACAUUGACACUGAUGGACGAAAGCGUGGGGAGCGAACAGAUUAGAUACCCUGGUAGGUGA